CAGUGGCCCGAUUCAAGUAAUCCAGGAUAGGCUGUUCACAUUCUGCGUGGCCUAUUCUUGAUUACUUGCAUUGGGAGGCAG
Molecule: non-coding RNA, 81 nt
Organism: Xenopus laevis (African clawed frog)
Lineage: Eukaryota; Metazoa; Chordata; Amphibia; Anura; Pipidae
Source: Rfam